AUGGCGCGCGGUCUUCUGGAGGUGCAUCUGGUCCACGCCAAGGGCCUCUCCGGCACCGAUUUCCUCGGGAAGGUCGACCCGUAUGUGGUGGUGCAGUACCGGAGCCAGGAGCGCAAGAGCACCACCGCCCGAGAUGCGGGGAGGAACCCGAGCUGGAAUGAGGUCUUCAGAUUCCAGAUCAACUCCUCCGCGGCCAAUGUGCAAGAAAAGCUCUUCUUGCGGAUCAUGGACCGCGACAACCUCUCCAGGGACGACUUCCUCGGCCAAGCAACGAUCAAUGUGACCGACCUGAUCAGCAUGGGCAUGGAGAGCGGCACCUCGCGGCUGAACCCGGCCAAGUACAGGGUGGUCACCGCCGACAACUCGUACCACGGCGAGAUCAAGAUCGGCAUCACCUUCACCGCUGCAAAGGUAAAGACAGGCGCGCAUUUUUCUGAUUUUGUACAUGGCUGGCCAGCCUCUGUCGAUCUCUUGUGGACUAGUGUGAGUUCUGAUUGGGUGUUGAUGCCCAUUGCCAGGUUGAAGAAGACGGAGCACAGGUUGGAGGCUGGGUGCAGAGCUUUCGUGGGCUGA
This 573-nucleotide ribosomal RNA is filed under the name Triticum aestivum (bread wheat). Its description in RNAcentral is "partial small subunit ribosomal RNA". Lineage: Eukaryota; Viridiplantae; Streptophyta; Magnoliopsida; Poales; Poaceae. The record is from RNAcentral.